This 23-nucleotide microRNA is filed under the name Ovis aries (sheep). RNAcentral describes it as "miRNA 15". The record is from RNAcentral. Lineage: Eukaryota; Metazoa; Chordata; Mammalia; Artiodactyla; Bovidae.
CGCAGAGGCGGGAGGUAUGACCU